UCAAGUGAAUAAGUGCAUCAGGCGGAUGCCUUGGCGAUGAUAGGCGACGAAGGACGUGUAAGCCUGCGAAAAGCGCGGGGGAGCUGGCAAUAAAGCUAUGAUUCCGCGAUGUCCGAAUGGGGAAACCCACUGCAUUCUGUGCAGUAUCCUAAGUUGAAUACAUAGGCUUAGAGAAGCGAACCCGGAGAACUGAACCAUCUAAGUACCCGGAGGAAAAGAAAUCAACCGAGAUUCCGCAAGUAGUGGCGAGCGAACGCGGAGGAGCCUGUACGUAAUAACUGUCGAGAUAGAAGAACAAGCUGGGAAGCUUGACCAUAGCGGGUGACAGUCCCGUAUUCGAAAUCUCAACAGCGGUACUAAGCGUACGAAAAGUAGGGCGGGACACGUGAAAUCCUGUCUGAAUAUGGGGGGACCAUCCUCCAAGGCUAAAUACUCAUCAUCGACCGAUAGUGAACCAGUACCGUGAGGGAAAGGCGAAAAGAACCCCGGGAGGGGAGUGAAACAGAACCUGAAACCUGAUGCAUACAAACAGUGGGAGCGCCCUAGUGGUGUGACUGCGUACCUUUUGUAUAAUGGGUCAACGACUUACAUUCAGUAGCGAGCUUAACCGGAUAGGGGAGGCGUAGGGAAACCGAGUCUUAAUAGGGCGAUGAGUUGCUGGGUGCAGACCCGAAACCGAGUGAUCUAUCCAUGGCCAGGUUGAAGGUGCCGUAACAGGUACUGGAGGACCGAACCCACGCAUGUUGCAAAAUGCGGGGAUGAGCUGUGGGUAGGGGUGAAAGGCUAAACAAACUCGGAGAUAGCUGGUUCUCCCCGAAAACUAUUUAGGUAGUGCCUCGAGCAAGACACUGAUGGGGGUAAAGCACUGUUAUGGCUAGGGGGUUAUUGCAACUUACCAACCCAUGGCAAACUCAGAAUACCAUCAAGUGGUUCCUCGGGAGACAGACAGCGGGUGCUAACGUCCGUUGUCAAGAGGGAAACAACCCAGACCGCCGGCUAAGGUCCCAAAUGAUAGAUUAAGUGGUAAACGAAGUGGGAAGGCACAGACAGCCAGGAUGUUGGCUUAGAAGCAGCCAUCAUUUAAAGAAAGCGUAAUAGCUCACUGGUCGAGUCGUCCUGCGCGGAAGAUGUAACGGGGCUCAAAUCUAUAACCGAAGCUGCGGAUGCCGGUUUACCGGCAUGGUAGGGGAGCGUUCUGUAGGCUGAUGAAGGUGCAUUGUAAAGUGUGCUGGAGGUAUCAGAAGUGCGAAUGUUGACAUGAGUAGCGAUAAAGCGGGUGAAAAGCCCGCUCGCCGAAAGCCCAAGGUUUCCUACGCAACGUUCAUCGGCGUAGGGUGAGUCGGCCCCUAAGGCGAGGCAGAAAUGCGUAGUCGAUGGGAAACAGGUUAAUAUUCCUGUACUUGAUUCAAAUGCGAUGUGGGGACGGAGAAGGUUAGGUUGGCAAGCUGUUGGAAUAGCUUGUUUAAGCCGGUAGGUGGAAGACUUAGGCAAAUCCGGGUUUUCUUAACACCGAGAAGUGAUGACGAGUGUCUACGGACACGAAGCAACCGAUACCACGCUUCCAGGAAAAGCCACUAAGCUUCAGUUUGAAUCGAACCGUACCGCAAACCGACACAGGUGGGCAGGAUGAGAAUUCUAAGGCGCUUGAGAGAACUCGGGAGAAGGAACUCGGCAAAUUGAUACCGUAACUUCGGGAGAAGGUAUGCCCUCUAAGGUUAAGGACUUGCUCCGUAAGCCCCGGAGGGUCGCAGAGAAUAGGUGGCUGCGACUGUUUAUUAAAAACACAGCACUCUGCCAACACGAAAGUGGACGUAUAGGGUGUGACGCCUGCCCGGUGCCGGAAGGUUAAUUGAAGAUGUGCAAGCAUCGGAUCGAAGCCCCGGUAAACGGCGGCCGUAACUAUAACGGUCCUAAGGUAGCGAAAUUCCUUGUCGGGUAAGUUCCGACCCGCACGAAUGGCGUAACGAUGGCCACACUGUCUCCUCCCGAGACUCAGCGAAGUUGAAGUGGUUGUGAAGAUGCAAUCUACCCGCUGCUAGACGGAAAGACCCCGUGAACCUUUACUGUAGCUUUGCAUUGGACUUUGAAGUCACUUGUGUAGGAUAGGUGGGAGGCUUGGAAGCAGAGACGCCAGUCUCUGUGGAGUCGUCCUUGAAAUACCACCCUGGUGUCUUUGAGGUUCUAACCCAGACCCGUCAUCCGGGUCGGGGACCGUGCAUGGUAGGCAGUUUGACUGGGGCGGUCUCCUCCCAAAGCGUAACGGAGGAGUUCGAAGGUUACCUAGGUCCGGUCGGAAAUCGGACUGAUAGUGCAAUGGCAAAAGGUAGCUUAACUGCGAGACCGACAAGUCGGGCAGGUGCGAAAGCAGGACAUAGUGAUCCGGUGGUUCUGUAUGGAAGGGCCAUCGCUCAACGGAUAAAAGGUACUCCGGGGAUAACAGGCUGAUUCCGCCCAAGAGUUCAUAUCGACGGCGGAGUUUGGCACCUCGAUGUCGGCUCAUCACAUCCUGGGGCUGUAGUCGGUCCCAAGGGUAUGGCUGUUCGCCAUUUAAAGUGGUACGUGAGCUGGGUUUAAAACGUCGUGAGACAGUUUGGUCCCUAUCUGCAGUGGGCGUUGGAAGUUUGACGGGGGCUGCUCCUAGUACGAGAGGACCGGAGUGGACGAACCUCUGGUGUACCGGUUGUAACGCCAGUUGCAUAGCCGGGUAGCUAAGUUCGGAAGAGAUAAGCGCUGAAAGCAUCUAAGCGCGAAACUCGCCUGAAGAUGAGACUUCCCUUGCGGUUUAACCGCACUAAAGGGUCGUUCGAGACCAGGACGUUGAUAGGUGGGGUGUGGAAGCGCGGUAACGCGUGAAGCUAACCCAUACUAAUUGCCCGUGAGGCUUGACUCU
RNAcentral lists this ribosomal RNA (2890 nucleotides) under Neisseria gonorrhoeae MS11. RNAcentral's name for it is "bacterial LSU rRNA". It matches the Rfam family "Bacterial large subunit ribosomal RNA". Lineage: Bacteria; Pseudomonadati; Pseudomonadota; Betaproteobacteria; Neisseriales; Neisseriaceae. The record is from RNAcentral.